UACGUAGGUGGCAAGCGUUAUCCGGAUUUAUUGGGUGUAAAGGGCGUGUAGGCGGGAGCGCAAGUCAGAUGUGAAAACUCAGGGCUCAACCCUGAGCCUGCAUUUGAAACUGUGUUUCUUGAGUGCUGGAGAGGCAAUCGGAAUUCCGUGUGUAGCGGUGAAAUGCGUAGAUAUUAGGAGGAACACCAGUGGCGAAGGCGGCUUACUGGACUGUAACUGACGUUGAGGCUCGAAAGCGUGGGGAGCAAACAGG
This 253-nucleotide ribosomal RNA is filed under the name uncultured bacterium. RNAcentral describes it as "partial 16S ribosomal RNA". It matches the Rfam family "Bacterial small subunit ribosomal RNA", at positions 524 to 776 of the family's 1533-position model. The record is from RNAcentral.